CGUGCCUAACACAUGCAAGUCGCACGAGAAAGUCCCAGCUUGCUGGGGCUAGUAAAGUGGCGCACGGGUGAGUAACGCGUGGGUAAUCUACCUCCGAAUUGGGGAUAACAUUGCGAAAGCGGUGCUAAUACCGAAUGACAUCCCCGGGACUACGGUCUUGGUGAUCAAAGGUGGCCUCUACAUGUAAGCUAUGUUUGGAGAUGAGCCCGCGUACCAUUAGCUAGUUGGUAGGGUAAUGGCCUACCAAGGCUACGAUGGUUAGCUGGUCUGAGAGGAUGAUCAGCCACACUGGAACUGACACACGGUCCAGACUCCUACGGGAGGCAGCAGUGAGGAAUUUUGCGCAAUGGGGGAAACCCUGACGCAGCAACGCCGCGUGAGUGAUGAAGGCUUUCGGGUCGUAAAGCUCUGUCAAGUGGGAAGAACCUGCUUUGUGAUAAUACCACGAAGCACUGACGGUACCACUGAAGGAAGCACCGGCUAACUCCGUG
Molecule: ribosomal RNA, 491 nt
Filed under: uncultured bacterium
Lineage: Bacteria
Description: bacterial SSU rRNA
Rfam family: Bacterial small subunit ribosomal RNA
Source: RNAcentral